AGAGUGAACGCUGGCGGCAGGCCUAACACAUGCAAGUCGAACGGCAGCACAGAGGAGCUUGCUCCUUGGGUGGCGAGUGGCGGACGGGUGAGGAAUACGUCGGAAUCUGCCUAUUUGUGGGGGAUAACGUAGGGAAACUUACGCUAAUACCGCAUACGACCUACGGGUGAAAGCGGAGGACCUUCGGGCUUCGCGCAGAUAGAUGAGCCGACGUCGGAUUAGCUAGUUGGCGGGGUAAAGCCCACCAAGGCGACGAUCCGUAGCUGGUCUGAGAGGAUGAUCAGCCACACUGGAACUGAGACACGGUCCAGACUCCUACGGGAGGCAGCAGUGGGGAAUAUUGGACAAUGGGCGCAAGCCUGAUCCAGCCAUGCCGCGUGUGUGAAGAAGGCCUUCGGUUGUAAAGCUACGUUUUGACGGAAGUAAAGCUUUCGGUAAUACCCGGAAGUUCUAGACGGUACGUAAGAAUAAGCACCGGACUAACGUCGUACGCUA
Molecule: ribosomal RNA, 495 nt
Filed under: uncultured soil bacterium
Lineage: Bacteria
Description: bacterial SSU rRNA
Rfam family: Bacterial small subunit ribosomal RNA
Source: RNAcentral